RNAcentral lists this ribosomal RNA (465 nucleotides) under uncultured fungus. RNAcentral's name for it is "eukaryotic LSU rRNA". The stretch from base 114 to 268 matches the Rfam family "5.8S ribosomal RNA". Lineage: Eukaryota; Fungi. The record is from RNAcentral.
ACUUCUGUUGCCUUCCGGGGCGACCCUGCCUUUCGGGCGGGGGCUUCCGGGUGGACACUUUCAAACUCUUGCGUAACUUUUGCAGUCUGAGUAAACUUUAAUUAAUAAAUUAAAACUUUUAACAACGGAUCUCUUGGUUCUGGCAUCGAUGAAGAACGCAGCGAAAUGCGAUAAGUAAUGUGAAUUUGCAGAAUUCAGUGAAUCAUCGAAUCUUUGAACGCACAUUGCGCCCCCUGGUAUUCCGGGGGGCAUGCCUGUUCGAGCGUCAUUUUCACCACUCAAGCCUCGCUUGGUAUUGGGCAACGCGGUCCGCCGCGUGCCUCAAAUCGUCCGGCUGGGUCUUCUGUCCCCUAAGCGUUGUGGAAACUAUUCGCUAAAGGGUGUUCGGGAGGCUACGCCGUANAACAACCCCAUUUCUAAGGUUGACCUCGGAUCACGUAGGGAUACCCGCUGAACUUAAGCAUA